GGCGGCAUGGCUCAGGAGGUAGAGCGGGCAGCCUAGAAAGCAGAAGGUUACCGGGUUCGAUUCGGCUCCUCCA
Molecule: non-coding RNA, 73 nt
Organism: Gymnothorax javanicus (giant moray)
Lineage: Eukaryota; Metazoa; Chordata; Actinopteri; Anguilliformes; Muraenidae
Source: the annotation of a GenBank genome assembly